AUACGAAGGGUGCAAGCGUUACUCGGAAUUACUGGGCGUAAAGCGUGCGUAGGUGGUUGUUUAAGUCUGUCGUGAAAGCCCUGGGCUCAACCUGGGAAUGGCGAUGGAAACUGGGCGACUAGAGUGUGGCAGAGGGUAGUGGAAUUCCUGGUGUAGUAGUGAAAUGCGUAGAGAUCAGGAGGAACAUCCGUGGCGAAGGCGACUGCCUGGGCCAACACUGACACUGAGGCACGAAAGCGUGGGGAGCAAACAGGAUUAGAUACCCUGGUAGUCCACGCCCUAAACGAUGCGAACUGGAUGUUGGGUGCAAUUUGGCACGCAGUAUCGAAGCUAACGCGUUAAGUUAGCCGCCUGGGGAGUACGGUCGCAAGACUGAAACUCAAAGGAAUUGACGGGG
This 397-nucleotide ribosomal RNA is filed under the name uncultured bacterium. RNAcentral describes it as "partial 16S ribosomal RNA". It matches the Rfam family "Bacterial small subunit ribosomal RNA", at positions 523 to 918 of the family's 1533-position model. The record is from RNAcentral.